This 466-nucleotide ribosomal RNA is filed under the name uncultured bacterium. Its description in RNAcentral is "bacterial SSU rRNA". It matches the Rfam family "Bacterial small subunit ribosomal RNA", at positions 329 to 792 of the family's 1533-position model. The record is from RNAcentral.
UUCCAGACUCCUACGGGAGGCAGCAGUGAGGAAUAUUGGUCAAUGGCCGAGAGGCUGAACCAGCCAAGUCGCGUGAGGGAAGACGGCCCUACGGGUUGUAAACCUCUUUUGUCGGGGAGCAAAGCGAGUCACGUGUGACUCAUUGAGAGUACCCGAAGAAAAAGCAUCGGCUAACUCCGUGCCAGCAGCCGCGGUAAUACGGAGGAUGCGAGCGUUAUCCGGAUUUAUUGGGUUUAAAGGGUGCGUAGGUUGUUUUAUAAGUUAGCGGUGAAAUACCGAUGCUCAACAUCGGGGCUGCCGCUAAUACUGUAGGACUAGAGAUCGGAUGCAGCAGGCGGAAUGUGUAGUGUAGCGGUGAAAUGCAUAGAUAUUACACAGAACACCGAUUGCGAAGGCAGCUUGCUAGGCCGGAUCUGACACUGAUGCACGAAAGCGUGGGGAUCGAACAGGAUUAGAUACCCUAGUA